Non-coding RNA from Desmophyllum pertusum, 75 nucleotides. Lineage: Eukaryota; Metazoa; Cnidaria; Anthozoa; Scleractinia; Caryophylliidae. The record is from the annotation of a GenBank genome assembly.
GCUUCAUAGCUCAGUUGGUAGAGCAUCGCACCUGCAACGCGGAGGUCAUGGGUUCAAAUCCCGUUUAAGGAAACA